AACUCUUUCCAUUUCAAAUGUUAACUUAAAGGGUGGGUACCCUAUUUCAAGCCCAGCACAUGACGCUCUAACGAUCAUAUAUAAAAACGUCACGAGCAGCUGCAUUAACACGCUGUGUGUGUACUGUCAAAUAGUAAAAAUGACUGACCGCAGUGGAAAAUUUAAUAUUAUGAAGUUAGUCAAAAUUGUGUCUCUCAGCUUAUUAUUCGUUGUUAUAGUAUGUUUCGUUGCAGCCACUUUAAGGACUCUGACGUUUGACGUGAAUUCAGGACUUCAACUUGCACACUGGGAAAAGACGAACAAUAUUGCGUCUGACAUAAACCAGCACCAGCGAAAGGACCUUCUUGCUAAUUUCAGAGAGGCAAUCCAGAUUCCCACGGUGUCAACAGCGAAGACGCAGCUCAACAUCACCGCACUGGGCGAGUUCGACAGCCUCCUGAGGAGAGUUUUCCCUACAGUUUUCUCUUCCCACCUGGUCCAGCAUGAGGUUGUGGCCAACUACAGCCACCUGUUCUGGGUGCCUGGCUCUGACCUGGCCCUGGUCCCCUACAUGCUGCUGGCCCACAUAGAUGUGGUGCCUGCUGAUGAGAAUGAUGGAUGGGAGGUCCCACCAUUCUCUGCAAAGGAGAUAGAUGGAUUCAUCUAUGGUAGAGGGACCAUCGAUAACAAGCAGUCCGUCAUGGGAAUCCUCCAGGCGCUGGAGUACCUGUUGAUAAGAGGUUAUUCUCCGCAAAGGGGAUUCUUCAUUGGUCUGGGUCAUGAUGAAGAGGUGGGUGGCUUGCAGGGGGCCAUGAACAUAGUGAGGGUGCUGAAGAAGAAAGGGGUACAGCUGGCGUUCAUACUGGAUGAGGGUCUGGCUGUGCUGGAUGGAGUCAUCAGUGGUCUGCAGGGGCCUGCUGCUCUGAUUGGGAUCAGUGAGAAGGGACAAGCCACGGUGAAACUGAGUGUCUUCAAGGCCCCGGGUCACUCCUCCAUGCCUCCCAGAGAGAGCAGCAUCGGCAUCCUGGCUGGAGCUGUCAAAAGGUUGGAGGACAACCCUAUGCCCAUAUUGUUUGGUGAAGGCCCUGAGCGCAGGACCUUUGAACACUUAGCUCACAGGUUUGGACUCCCAAUUAAGUUUGUCAUGUCAAAUAUGUGGCUGUUCUCUCCACUUAUUGGCAGAGUAAUGGAAAGAAGUCCUGACACAAAUGCUUUUUUGAGAACCACAACUGCAGUCACCAUGUUCAACUCAGGUGUUAAGGUGAAUGUUCUUCCCUCCCUUGCUGAGGCCUAUGUGAAUCUGCGGAUACAUCCAGCACAGACUGUAGAAGAGGUUCUCGAGUUCAUCCAAUCCACAGUGGGAGAUGAGAGAGUGAAGAUGGAGCUGGUGAAUGGUUUUGACCCACUGCCUGUCAGUUCGUAUGAUGAAACAUCCUUUGGGUUCCAGACCAUCAAGAAGACCCUGCUGGACCAGUUCCCACAAGUUACUGUUGCGCCUGGUGUCUGCAUCGGGAACACAGACAGCCGUCACUACACUGACCUGGCCAAGGACAUCUAUCGCUUUGCACCUACCUGGAUCAGACCAGGGGACACCCAGAGGUUCCAUGGUAUUAACGAGAGGAUUUCUAAGAAGAACUAUGAGGAACUGGUGGUCUUUUAUUUCAAUCUGAUCCAGAACUGUGACAUCAAGGAGCUCCCUUCUCCCCACAGUGCUGGCCAUGAGCUCUAAAGCAGUAGGGUAUUUGGGGGCCACGAUUACAUUCAUAAUCUAGAUAAAAAUGAGUUUGUGUCAGAUUCUAUUUACCCCUUCAGGUUGGGUCCCUCCUUUAUUUUGGAUGAAGUACAGACAUCUCUUGGUGAUGCUAAUAUAUAUAUAUAUAUUAAUAAUGAUAAACAACAAACUACCAAUGCUAUAGUUUGAAUGAAGACAGUCUGAUUUGUAUUAUCAGUGAGUACAUCAAUUCAAUGUUACUCAGACAUCAAAAGGGGGCAGGCUCUCACGAGGAACAGACAUGUAACAUGGAGAUUUUGAUCUCUGUGUUGUAAAAAAACAAAACACUGGUGACGGUAUUGCAUAAGAGAGAUGGAGUUUGAUUUUUAUUAUGGCCAUAAAGUUAAUGGGUAUAGAAAAUCUAUGUAAUAUGUUACUAUUUUGUUAUUGGUCAUUGAUGUGAAACUUGAAUUGGAAAUCAUUGUGAUGGGUGAAGUGUAUUCAGCGUGCAUGUGAGAGCUACUGGACAAAUUUCCUCCCUGUGGAAUGGUUUCUAAACAAAUAUAAAGAUAUUAUAUAAAUCAUUUAUUUUCAAUGCACAUUAAUGGUAUGAAACUUGAAAUUGCUAUAUUUUGACUAAGCGUGAUAUCUUACUUGCUGAUUUCUAUGAGUUACUUUAGGUUUUUUGUGUGAAUAUUUAAUACAGGUUAAUUGAGGUGCAAUACUUGAUUUAUCUGUUUGAGAACUGAAAUUCAAAAACAUGUCUUGAAAUACUGCUGCCCGGUGUGCGAGGUACUGGGCCAAUAAAGCUGAAGAUAUCAUUGAUGUGGGCGAGUGGUGAACAUAAUGGUUAAUAAACAUGAUGCACUGUGGUGAUGGCCAUCUUUGUUUCCAGUUGAUGUGUCCAAAUUGUUACAAUGUACAGUCAGACAUUAUUUUAGAAGUGUUCAGACAGUAGGUCUAAUGUCAUUCCAAACCAUUAACAAGGAGCUUUACAAUAGUUUUUUUCAGCUAUACCAAGGUUGUCAAAGUGUUUGUUCCUUGGGUUUUUGGGUUUUCCUUUCAAUUAAGACCUAGACAACCAGUUGAGGGCAGUGUUGCCAAAUUAGCGACUUUAUUGCUAUAUUUAGCGAGUAUUCAGACCCCUCUAGCGACACAUUUUCAAAAAAUACUAUUUCUGGUGUUUAUUGGAGACUUUUGAAGACUGAUGUGAAAGCACGUAUCGUUCUUACUCUUCUUAACGAGCAGCGGGUGUUGCCGUGGGCCCCACCACCAAAGCACUCACAGGCUGCCCAGUCCUCGCACAGCUGUCCCUCCCAGCUGCAGUCAGAGCAGGAGAUGUUCACCCCUCCGCGUCCAGACUGCAAAUGAAUCGCGCAUGUGGGAAACCGCCGCUGGCUGAUCCCGCACUGGCUUACAUUCAGGGCAGGAUGUAAAUGUAAAAUGUUCUUUAUCUAAAAUAAAUCACUGCAUUUGA
Non-coding RNA from Oncorhynchus mykiss (rainbow trout), 3167 nucleotides. The record is from RefSeq and is a predicted model, not a curated record. Lineage: Eukaryota; Metazoa; Chordata; Actinopteri; Salmoniformes; Salmonidae.